This 861-nucleotide long non-coding RNA is filed under the name Amborella trichopoda. RNAcentral describes it as "long non-coding RNA (ATRI_LNC004909)". The record is from RNAcentral. Lineage: Eukaryota; Viridiplantae; Streptophyta; Magnoliopsida; Amborellales; Amborellaceae.
UCGAUUUUUCCGGCAAUUAUUGCCAAAAAAGCACCUGGCAUCUCCUCUUGGCCUAAACGGCAACAAAACUAAGAGGAAGAGGAAAAGAGACGAUUAAUUUUGAGUAGAUUAAAUUGACUGGAACAUGAAAUUUUUGGGAGUUUGGGCAUGCUAUUCAUGGAUUAAACAAGAGGAGUUUGGGCAAGCCUACAUGCUAAGCCAGUUUUCGCCUUGUGAAAUCUCCACCAUCCGUUUAGAUUAGACUGCUGGAGCACAAUGGUUACAUAUUGAGGUAGGGAUGCACAAAAAAGUAUCCCAAGCUUUUACAUCUUGGAACCUGUUACAUUCUCUUGAAUUUCAGAAAAAAUCAAGACAAGCGAAUGUGAUCCCCACAGAUAAAAAAAGUUCAUCUCUUGCAAACCAAUCCCAAGUUCACAUUAACUGCUCUCUCUCUCAAGUGUUUUGAAGGAUUUGAUUGCAGUCUUACAUAGAAACACAAGAUAGCAAAUACAUGAUGUCAAAAUUUAACUCAAGCUAUGGCUGUCAUCCAAAACAAGCGAUCUUCAACGCAUUAACUGCUCUCUCUCUCUCUCGAGUGUUUUCAAGGAUCAGUCUUACAUAGAAACACAAGAUAGCAAAUACAUGAUGUCAAAGUUUAGCUCCAGCUAUGGCUGUCAUCCAAAAAAAACGACCUUCAAAAACCCACACAUAUCCCAUCACUGAUCCUCCCUUUUAUCCAACAAUGCUUGCCUCUGGCUAACAGAUGUUCCUAACCCUGACAGUAGUUAUUUCAGCAACUUAUCAGAAUGCUCUUCGUGCACCUAGGACCAGCUCCUUGCUCCCACCUCUCAUCAUUGCCACAAAUUCCUCAUAAUUGAUNNN